GGCUGAAUUUGAUUGAUUGUCACUUUUAAAAAUUGUUAAAGACUUGUAAGAGGGAAGAAUAGGCCAGAAAUUUUUGUUAUGCUCCAUUUGUUCAAAAGCAUCUUCCUUCCUGCUUCUAAUGUGGCAAAGCACAGAUACAUUGUCUUUAAGAGAUUCUAGGUGAACAAACAACUUGGAUAUCAACAGGGAACAGAAAACCCACUAGCAGGACCAAAAGGCAGACCCCAUCAGCAGAACACAGGUGGCAGCUUCAACAAUUAAUUCCAAAACUGAAAGUCAAAUCCAGGAGAAGACAGGAAGCUCCAUUUUCUUUGAGCACUUAAUUGUAAAUUAAGAUUUGCUGAUGAUGACGGGCUAAUUUAAGCU
Molecule: long non-coding RNA, 366 nt
Filed under: Piliocolobus tephrosceles (Ugandan red Colobus)
Lineage: Eukaryota; Metazoa; Chordata; Mammalia; Primates; Cercopithecidae
Description: lncRNA (ENSPTEG00000007259.1)
Source: RNAcentral